RNAcentral lists this ribosomal RNA (253 nucleotides) under uncultured bacterium. RNAcentral's name for it is "partial 16S ribosomal RNA". It matches the Rfam family "Bacterial small subunit ribosomal RNA", at positions 524 to 776 of the family's 1533-position model. The record is from RNAcentral.
UACAGAGGAUGCGAGCAUUAAUCGGAAUUACUGGGCGUAAAGCGCGCGUAGACGGCUUUGCAAGUCGGGUGUGAAAUCCCCAGACUCAACCUGGGAACUGCAUUCGAGACUGCAUUGCUAGAGUAUGGGAGAGGGAAGUGGAAUUUCCGGUGUAGCGAUGAAAUGCGUAAAUAUCGGAAGGAACAUCAGUGACGAAAGCGACUUCCUGGACCAAUACUGACGCUCAUAUACGAAAGCGUAGGAAGCAAACAGG